UACGGAGGGUGCAAGCGUUAUCCGGAUUCACUGGGUUUAAAGGGUGCGUAGGAGGGUAGGUAAGUCAGUGGUGAAAUCCCCGAGCUUAACUUGGGAACUGCCGUUGAUACUAUCUAUCUUGAAUAUCGUGGAGGUGAGCGGAAUAUGUCAUGUAGCGGUGAAAUGCUUAGAUAUGACAUAGAACACCAAUUGCGAAGGCAGCUUGCUACACGAAUAUUGACUCUGAGGCACGAAAGCGUGGGGAUCAAACAGG
This 253-nucleotide ribosomal RNA is filed under the name uncultured bacterium. RNAcentral's name for it is "partial 16S ribosomal RNA". It matches the Rfam family "Bacterial small subunit ribosomal RNA", at positions 524 to 776 of the family's 1533-position model. The record is from RNAcentral. RNAcentral also lists the same sequence under 1 other name.